AAUCUCAAGUUGGGUGCGCAAAUGCCUGUGGUACGUAUGUAUGUAUAUAGGAAAAUAUAUGUAGAAAGAGGUAGAAAGUAUGAAGCUUGAGACUCGUGAGUGAUGAAAAAGGUAGAAGAAGUCUACUUUUUCCUCCUACUCUUAAGUUGCUCUCAAUACCGUGACAUGUCUGAAAGGAUUCUGCAGGAAGCUUGUGUAACGAAAUGAUCUUUGGUAAGGGGUGAAAGGGAAAGCUGGAACAGAGUAAAGAGGACCAGUUUUCAUCAUGUUUGCACAAAAAGGGUUAGCAGAAGACUGGGAAUAGAAGAAGAGGGAUAAUGGUCAGGAGACGCAAGGUUUUGUAUUCUUGUGAAAAUGCAAAUGCUUGAGGGUAAGUUAGAAGUCUGGUUUGUGUUCAAGAAAGAAGUGGGGGAGGGAAAUCAAGGAGGGAAGAAGAUGGCAAAUGCCAAUGGAAACGAUGCUUCUUUUCCUGGUGGUGGUGGUGGUGGAAGGUCCAUCAUCUAAUAUAUAACACAUGUGGAGGUGUGAAAUCAUAUGUAGACAAAAGGUUGGGUUCUGGAAGGACAGAUUUGAGUGAAAUUAAGUUGGUGUUUUCAUUUCAGGAUCCAGAACUGGACCAGACAGCUUAAAGCAAGAACAUUUGAAGAGGGAGCGCUGAAGUGUCAUGGAAGCCACGUGGACCAAUGGGUGGCUGUUUUAGAGGUUUGGCACAUUUGGUGAAAUCAAGUCUUUCCCGACAGACUGACUGGUUAGUGAUUUCCUUCUCUCAUUAUUACUCAUUCCGUGAGCUCCUCUUCCUCCCUCCUCUCCUUAAUGCACAUGCUAACGUUGUUUUGUCUAAUGCAAAUGCACAAAAUUCAAUCAUUACAGCCAUGAAUCCGUCCAAACUAAGAUCCCCUCCAUCCAUCCAUCCAUCCAUCCAUCCAUCCACCAACAUAAUGAUAUAUAAAACCUUACGGCUCUCACCUAACCAAGAGACUUGCCAUUUAUCUUACUGGAGAAAUUUAUUAUUAUUAUUAUUAUUAUCAAGUUUUUAUCUUUUUCACCGACUACCCAUUAAUUGAAUGGCCCCAUGACUUGGAUUCCUUGAUGAUCCGCCGCAUGUUCCAUUGUUAUCCGAAGCUACUGAGGCGAUAUGGAUUUGAUUUCGUUUCUUUUCAUUUCUUUUCGAGUUUGACAUGAUUGCUCCGGCUCUUUUGCGUUUGAUAUAUGUUUGCGUUAUUUUUAAGAUGAACAAACCCUUAUGCUGAUAAAGUCGGCCAACUUUCCAGGCAAACGGGAAGCCAGAAGAAGAAGCCUACAAAACUUCAAAACAAAAAGAUAGCAAGUCCGUCCGUCUAAAUGAUUAUUAUUCUACUUCAAAUGUGGAAAGAAUUGGUGGGGACUGGGGACCCAUUUGUGGGGAAAAGGGUAUCUCCUACUCCCACGAGAUUCCUCUGCUAAAAAGGGUGGCAGAUUUUAGCCAGUCGGAAGAGAAUAGGGGCAGCAGGGAAAGGCAGCCAGGUCAACUGAAUUUGCUUGCACCUACCUUGGCCGUAAGCAAGUAUGGUACUAAUCAAAGUGAAAUUCCGUCUUAUCCGAGAAUAAUUAGGGAGGAUCAUGGAAAUCAAAGUUGACACGAUGCAGCUACUCGCAUCAUGCAUUUUGUUAGUGAAACUUUCCCUGUGAGAAAGGAUGAAGAAUACAGUUCCUUUUCAACGUGAUUUCUAUUGCUAAAAGGCGAAAGGAAAAGGGAAGGUGGGGUAGAAGAAGAAGAAGAAGAAGACGAAGAAGAGGAAGAAGAAAGUGAAAUAGCUUAUUAAGAAGAAUAUUUAGUGAUAAGUGAUGGUGGUGGAUGAUGGGUUAUUUCAAGUCUUUUCCAGAGGAAGGAUCUGCCGUUUUCUGGGGGUGGGUUCGAGUAAGGUAAAGUUUACGCAUGGGUUCGGUCGGUUGGGUCCUACGGCCUUUACUUCCCAGCCAACCAAAACUGAAAAUGGGACAAAUCGGUACCCUUGCAACGGCGUCGUCCCAACACACCAUGUGCUGCCCAGGACAGAAGAUCUAACGCUAUGUCUCGUUCGUCCUUUCUAGUUUCUUCCAUUCCAGUCGCCAGUUAAUCUGAUGAGAAAUGAUCUUAUCCAUUCACCGUUGCAUAAGCCCUUAGCUGCAGGGUUAGGCUUGGAGUAGUGGUCUAGAAAUUGGGUAUGCACCGGAAAUCUGUCCGGUCUGGAUGGUUAAAAUUUGGUCAACUCGAGUAAUGGACGAACACGGGACAGAUCGCAUGGUAUUCACCUCGUCUAAGAAUGUCAUUGUUGUUGGAUUGCGACGGAAUCCAACAACAACCUCAACACAAAACCUUGAACUCAAACUCUUUGACAAGGGGUAGAAAUACAGGAGUAAAUAGCUCGCUGAUAUAAUUAACAAUUCUCUAAGCACAAAUCGGCACACAUUUUAACGAACAAACAAUAUUAAAC
This 2453-nucleotide long non-coding RNA is filed under the name Linum usitatissimum (flax). RNAcentral describes it as "long non-coding RNA (LUSI_LNC007422)". The record is from RNAcentral. Lineage: Eukaryota; Viridiplantae; Streptophyta; Magnoliopsida; Malpighiales; Linaceae.